AAAUCAUGGUUAAUCCCUUUACUUUGUAUAUUUUUGCCAAAUUUUGCUUUAUACGUCUGCCUCCUCUAUCUGAAUUGUCUCAUUCAUGCUUCUUCAUUGGGUUCCUCUGGAUAUAUUUUCUAUUUUAGUUUUGCAUGUGUUUGAACUAGAAGUUUCACGAUUUUGACGGAAAAUACAAGCUAAUUAGGGUAUUAUUACUUAGUUUUAGGUUUGGAUCUAACUUUUUUAUGAUUGUUUUAUUUUCGUAGUGCCCGCAUCUUCAAAAUGAAUUGGGACGCUUUCUUAAUUUGCACAAAUCGAGCUCAGCCGGCGGUGAUGUGAGUGGGGGAUGUUAUCUGCAGCUGAGCAGCAGGAGGCUGGAGAAACCCUUGGUGGGUUUUGAAAAGAAAAGACGGAAAUACCCUUUGAAGGAAUCGAAAAGACAGAACCGGAGUUUGAGGGUGAGGGAGAGGAACAACAAUCUUGGAAUUAUGGGUCUGUUGAGGGUGAAGAGGAGAAGAAGGAAGAAGUUCAUGUACAAGAAAAUCAGAAGGAAAUUGACAACAAUGGCAGCUUUGAAGGUGAAAACGUGCUGGAAUUUGAUGGUACAGAGAGGAUUUGAAGAAGAAAGAUGAGUCCAACCAUGCAGGGGUUGCUAUUGAAGAGCAAUACAAAUGACAUUUACCUGAGAAAACUACUAAAUAAUUAAGGAGUAUGCAUAAGAGCAAUUUCAAGUUUAUCACCCUUCUAUCAUUGAUUAAUUUGCAGGAACAACAUAUAACAUUUCUCUGGGCACUGCAAAGAAAAUACUUACAAAGAGUUGAAGAGUUUACGUUAUUUGUGACACAUUGUAUACUCCAGAAGUUGUGACACCACUAGAAUUUGAAUAAUA
Solanum stenotomum is the source of this 871-nucleotide long non-coding RNA. RefSeq lists it as uncharacterized. The transcript is spliced from 3 exons. Lineage: Eukaryota; Viridiplantae; Streptophyta; Magnoliopsida; Solanales; Solanaceae. The record is from RefSeq and is a predicted model, not a curated record.